GGGGAAUCUUGCGCAAUGGGCGAAAGCCUGACGCAGCAACGCCGCGUGGAGGAUGAAGGCCCUUGGGUUGUGAACUCCUGUCGGCUGGGAAGAAAUCGUUCGGGGCUAAUACCUUCGGACGUUGACUGUACCAGCAAAGGAAGCCCCGGCUAACUCUGUGCCAGCAGCCGCGGUAAUACAGAGGGGGCCAGCGUUAUUCGGAAUUAUUGGGCGUAAAGGGCGCGUAGGCGGCCAUGCGUGUCUCCCGUGAAAUCCCUCGGCUUAACUGAGGACGUGCGGGAGAAACUGCAAGGCUCGAGUCCGGGAGAGGGGGGUGGAAUUCCCAGUGUAGCGGUGAAAUGCGUAGAUAUUGGGAGGAACACCGGUGGCGAAGGCGGCCCCCUGGACCGGUACUGACGCUGAGGCGCGAAAGCGUGGGUAGCAAAC
This 426-nucleotide ribosomal RNA is filed under the name uncultured bacterium. Its description in RNAcentral is "bacterial SSU rRNA". It matches the Rfam family "Bacterial small subunit ribosomal RNA", at positions 356 to 773 of the family's 1533-position model. The record is from RNAcentral.